UACGUAGGAACCAAGCGUUGUCCGGAAUUACUGGGUGUAAAGGGUGCGCAGGCGGGCUUGUGCGUCAGAGGUUAAAUACCCCGGCUCAACCGGGGAAAUGCCUUUGAUACGGCAAGUCUUGAGUACGAGAGAGGAUGGUAGAAUUCCUGGUGUAGCGGUGAAAUGCGUAGAUAUCAGGAGGAAUACCCGUGGCGAAGGCGGCCAUCUGGCUCGUUACUGACGCUCAGGCACGAAAGCGUGGGGAGCAAACAGG
RNAcentral lists this ribosomal RNA (253 nucleotides) under uncultured bacterium. Its description in RNAcentral is "partial 16S ribosomal RNA". It matches the Rfam family "Bacterial small subunit ribosomal RNA", at positions 524 to 776 of the family's 1533-position model. The record is from RNAcentral.